This is a small nucleolar RNA of Tursiops truncatus (common bottlenose dolphin), 96 nucleotides long. The record is from Ensembl. NCBI's taxonomy places the organism in Eukaryota, Metazoa, Chordata, Mammalia, Artiodactyla, Delphinidae.
AGGGUCAGUAAAGACUUAAUUAACCCAAAGACUGAGUUCUCCACUGGAUAUAAUAGUAACUUGAUAGUGCUAUGUUUUCCGGAUGGAGAUACAAGC